ACGGGGGGGGCAAGCGUUGUUCGGAAUUACUGGGCGUAAAGGGCGCGUAGGCGGUUCGCUAAGUUGGAUGUGAAAACUCUGGGCUCAACCCAGAGCCUGCAUCCAAAACUGGCGGGCUAGAGUUCUGGAGGGGGUAGCGGAAUUCCUGGUGUAGCGGUGAAAUGCGUAGAUAUCAGGAGGAACACCGGUGGCGAAGGCGGCUACCUGGACCAGCACUGACACUGAGGCACGAAAGCGUGGGGAGCAAACAGGA
RNAcentral lists this ribosomal RNA (253 nucleotides) under uncultured prokaryote. RNAcentral's name for it is "partial 16S ribosomal RNA". It matches the Rfam family "Bacterial small subunit ribosomal RNA", at positions 525 to 777 of the family's 1533-position model. The record is from RNAcentral.